GAUGAACGCUGGCGGCGUGCCUAAUACAUGCAAGUCGAGCGAACAGACGAGGAGCUUGCUCCUCUGACGUUAGCGGCGGACGGGUGAGUAACACGUGGAUAACCUACCUAUAAGACUGGGAUAACUUCGGGAAACCGGAGCUAAUACCGGAUAAUAUAUUGAACCGCAUGGUUCAAUAGUGAAAGACGGUUUUGCUGUCACUUAUAGAUGGAUCCGCGCCGCAUUAGCUAGUUGGUAAGGUAACGGCUUACCAAGGCAACGAUGCGUAGCCCAACUGAGGGGGUGGUCGGCCACACUGGAACUGAGACACGGUCCAGGCUCCUACGGGAGGCAGCAGUAGGGAAUCUUCCUCAAUGGGCGAAAGCCUGACGGAGCAACGCCGCGUGAGUGAUGAAGGUCUUCGGAUCGUAAAACUCUGUUAUUAGGGAAGAACAAAUGUGUAAGUAACUAUGCACGUCUUGACGGUACCUAAUCAGAAAGCCACGGCUAACUACGUG
Molecule: ribosomal RNA, 497 nt
Filed under: uncultured bacterium
Lineage: Bacteria
Description: partial 16S ribosomal RNA
Rfam family: Bacterial small subunit ribosomal RNA
Source: RNAcentral